This 1494-nucleotide long non-coding RNA is filed under the name Oncorhynchus kisutch (coho salmon). Its description in RNAcentral is "lncRNA (ENSOKIG00005027595.1)". The record is from RNAcentral. Lineage: Eukaryota; Metazoa; Chordata; Actinopteri; Salmoniformes; Salmonidae.
AUGGCUCUCACUCUAUCUCUCUAUCUCUCUCUAGCGCUCUCUCUCUCUCUCUCUUUAUCUCUCUUUCUCUCUGUGUCUCUCUCUCCAUCUCUCUUUCUCUAUGUGUCUCUAUCUCUCUUUCUCUGUCGCUCUCUCUCUUUCUCUGUGUCUCUCUCUCUCUGUUCCUCUCUCUCCACCUCUCUUUCUCUGUCUCUCUCUCCAUCUCCCUCUCUAUCUGUCUUUCUCUGUCUCUCUCUCCAUCUCCCUCUCUAUCUCUCUUUCUCUGUGUGUCUCUCUCUCCCUCUCUAUAUCUCUUUCUCUGUCUCUCUCUCCAUCUCCCUCUCUAUAUCUCUUUCUCUGUGUCUCUCUCUCCCUCUCUAUAUCUCUUUCUCUGUGUCUCUCUCUCCAUCUCCCUCUCUAUCUGUCUUUCUCUAUCUCUCUCUCCAUCUCCCUCUCUAUCUCUCUUUCUCUGUGUCUCUCUCCAUCUCCCUCUCUAUCUGUCUUUCUCUGUCUCUCUCUCCAUCUCCCUCUCUAUAUCUCUUUCUCUGUGUCUCUCUCUCCAUCUCCCUCUCUAUAUCUCUUUCUCUGUGUGUCUCUCUCUCCCUCUCUAUCUCUCAUUCUCUGUGUCUCUCUCUCCAUAUCUCCCUCUCUAUAUCUCUUUCUCUGUGUGUCUCUCUCUCCCUCUCUAUCUCUCUUUCUCUGCGUCUCUCUCUCCAUCUCCCUCUCUAUCUCUCUUUCUCUGCGUCUCUCUCUCCAUCUCCCUCUCUAUCUCUCUUUCUCUGUGUGUCUCUCUCUCCAUCUCCCUCUCUAUCUGUCUUUCGCUGUGCGUCUCUCUCUCUGUCCCUCUCUCCAUCCCUAUUUCUCUGUGUCUCUCUCUCCAUCUCUCUCUCUGUCUUUCUCUGUGUGCCUCUCUCUCUCUAUCCCUCUCUCCAUCUCUCUUUCUCUGUCUCUCUCUCUCUCGCAUUUCCCUCUCUAUCUGUCUUACUCUUUGUGUCUCUCCUACUCUUUUUCUCUCUUCCUCUCGUGGUGUCUCCCUCUCUUCUCUGCUAUUUCCCAGCCUUCUGUAAAUUACACUGGCCCGCUGAUGUGAACUCUCACUCCACUGGGGAAAUGUCCCAGACGCUUUAUGGGCCAAGCCCUGACGGCCCAUCUAUCUCACACACACAAACACACAUACACAUUACACCACCAUUACAGAGCAUCACACACACACACACAUACACUUUACACCACCAUUACAGAGCAUCACACACACACACACACACAUACACUUUACACCACCAUUACAGAGCAUCACACACACACCCACACACACACACACACACACACACACACACACACACACACACACAUACACAUUACACCACCAUUACACCACCAUUACACCACCAUUACAGAGCAUCACACACAGCAUCUCAGACAGGCAGUGCAGAAAGUGCCACGUUCCAUGUCAGCCAUUUCACAACGUCUUGUCGUCGGGAGGCUAUGAGACAGCAGAAUGAACAUGAGAUGUAA